UUUCCGUAGGUGAACCUGCGGAAGGAUCAUUAUUGAAUGAACUUGACUUGGUUGCUGCUGGUCUUUUCGAAGGCAUGUGCACACUUUGUCAUCUUUAUAUCUCCACCUGUGCACCUUUUGUAGACCUGAAACCAAAUUUCCGAGGCCACUCGGUCGUGAGGAAAUGCUUAACAGCUUUCCUUGUUAGGUUCCAGGGCUAUGUUUUCAUAUACACCAUAAGAAUGUAACAGAAUGUCAUUAUUAGGCUUAGUUGCCUUAUAAACUAUAUACAACUUUCAGCAACGGAUCUCUUGGCUCUC
Molecule: unclassified non-coding RNA, 299 nt
Filed under: plant metagenome
Description: partial contains small subunit ribosomal RNA, internal transcribed spacer 1, and 5.8S ribosomal RNA
Source: RNAcentral